RNAcentral lists this ribosomal RNA (254 nucleotides) under uncultured bacterium. RNAcentral describes it as "partial 16S ribosomal RNA". It matches the Rfam family "Bacterial small subunit ribosomal RNA", at positions 524 to 776 of the family's 1533-position model. The record is from RNAcentral.
UACAUGGGGUGCAAACGUUGCUCGGAAUUAUUGGGCGUAAAGCGCACGUAGGCGGUUCGUUAAGUCGGAUGUGAAAGCCCUCGGCUCAACUGAGGAAGUGCACCCGAAACUGGCGAGCUUGAGUACGAAAAGAGGAUCGCGGAAUUCCCGGUGUAGAGGUGAAAUUCGUAGAUAUUCGCAAGAACACCAGUGGCGAAGGCGGCUCACUGGCCCGGUACUGACGCUGAGGUGCGAAAGCGUGGGGAGCAAACAGG